Molecule: non-coding RNA, 694 nt
Filed under: Pongo abelii (Sumatran orangutan)
Lineage: Eukaryota; Metazoa; Chordata; Mammalia; Primates; Hominidae
Source: RNAcentral
AACUAAACAAAACACGGUAGGUCUCAGUGCGAGAGAGCGCUUUUGUUCACAUAGGAGGCUGACAGCUAUUUGCAAUGAGGGGUUUUCGUUUGUUUGUUUGUUAUUCAAAUAACUUUUUCCCCCUGAGGAAACUGAAAGGGAAAAUGUCAGAAGUAUGUGAUUAAUGAUUUUUAAAAAUAGAUGGGAUCUCCCCGGUUGAACUGAAAAGUAGGUAUUGAAAAAGAAUCCAUUUCUAAAUGGUAGAUUUUCAUAUGUAAGUUUGAUAUUAAUUCUUUCAAAAGAGUUGUGCCUGUGAGUCAGAUAAAUGACAGGAAGGUCUGUCUAAAUACCAGCAUCCUCGGAAGGGCAGCUGUUCAGAAACAUUCUCAAAUCAUGAAGAUAAAUAGAACCGGAACACUGAUGAUUCCAUCAACUGAUGGUUCCUUUUAAUCAGAUCUUAAAGCAAAGACAGAAGCUGAAAACAUUUCUAGUAAAUAAACAGCAAAGAACUCUGAAUGCUUAGCCGACCAGAACCCCGGAAGGAGCCCGCCUGGUACUGCCAGGCAUGACUGCCUUCAGUGGAUUUAACAAUAAAAAAGAAGAUGGCGCCAAAUGACCAAACUACAUGCGACCUUCCCUUCCCGCAAGAAAAGUGAAUAAAACUUUCCACUGGGGCUGGGGGAGGAGGCAAGGCACCAGUCCAGAGAGAUAAAAU